AUUGAACGCUGGCGGAAUGCUUUACACAUGCAAGUCGAACGGUAGAGGGGGCAACCCCUCGAGAGUGGCGAACGGGUGAGUAAUAUAUCGGAACGUGCCCCGUCGUGGGGGAUAACGUAGCUAAAGUUACGCUAAUACCUCCUACGAUCUAAGGAUGAAAGCGGGGGAUCGCAAGACCUCGCGCGAUUGGAGCGGCCGUUAUCAGAUUAGGUAGUGGGUGAGGUAAAGGCUCACCAAGCCAACGAUCUGUAGCUGGUCUGAGAGGACGACCACCCACACGGCAACUGAGACACGGACCAGACGCAUACGGGAGGCAGCAGGGGCGAAUUUUAGCCAAUGGACGCAAGUGUGACCCAGCCAUUCCGCGUGCAGAAUGAAGGCCCUCGGGUUGUAAACGGCUGUUGUACGGAACGAAAAGGUGUCUCUUAAUACGGGCGGCUCAUGACGGUACCGUAAGAAUAAGCACCGGCUAAAUACGUGCCAGCCGCCGCCGUAA
This 496-nucleotide ribosomal RNA is filed under the name uncultured bacterium. RNAcentral's name for it is "partial 16S ribosomal RNA". It matches the Rfam family "Bacterial small subunit ribosomal RNA", at positions 30 to 523 of the family's 1533-position model. The record is from RNAcentral.